This 1101-nucleotide long non-coding RNA is filed under the name Marmota monax (woodchuck). Lineage: Eukaryota; Metazoa; Chordata; Mammalia; Rodentia; Sciuridae. The record is from RNAcentral.
ACCCCCGACGCACCGUGGGAGGCGGGGCCGUAUGUUCAUGGUUUCCCGGCAGAGCACUGCCGUUGUCUUGCCGGGGACCGGCCCCGGAAACCUUGGCUGUUUCUCGGCUGCCAGGCCUGCGCUCCGUCAGCUACCUACCUAUCAGGGGCUGAAGACCGAAGGACCUAAGUUCGUUCUGAAAGCACACGCAUAUCCAUCCUUUUAGUUCUCCGAAACUGAUGGAGUGUGGAAGACCACUUCGAGGGUUACCCCAGUGGACAGCACAGUCGUCCCGGACUUGCCGAGCACAUCGGUUGAGGGACCGAGCCUACCUACGUGAACUAUCCAAGUCACAGCUGAGUUGGGACCCGAAGAAUGCAUCUGAGUUACCCAAAAGAAGAAUGGACGGAAGAGUGUUCCAAGCAGAGAACUGCGUGCGAAAAGGCCCAGCGAUUUGGUUCGAUACCCAUCCCCGACAAGCAAGCAAACAAACAAACAAAACCGGAGAGAGAGAAAGACAAACCUUUGGGAUCCGGGAACUGAAAUUCUUUAUAGCCGGAGCAGCAGGUGUGGUUAGGGAGAUGGGCGGGGGAAGGAUGCAGCUCCUGUCAUUUGGAGCCUAAUAUGCUAUACUAAGGAUUACUUGGGAAAAGAAAGAAGUCCCAGAUAGGGAUGAUGUUCAGAUUCUGGUUUAGGAAGCUGGUGGCAAGUGGGCCCUUUAUCAAAAUAAAAAAGUUCAAAAACAGAGAAGAUGAUGUGUGGAAGAAAUAAAUUCGGUUUAUACCUUUUCAGUUUGAGGUCAACUAUGAAAAAGGUAGCUCCAGAAUUGAUUUUUCUUUUCUUUUUUCUUUUUUUUAGAACUUAGAAUAUAAGAGCAUAAGUAAUAAUUUGAAACUGCUCUCAGAACUGUUGGAGCUCAUUAAUCCAUUAAUUCUGGUAGUGAACUUAGGAAUUAGUUCUUUGAGAAGGCUAAUGAAUUCUUGCUUCCUUACUCCCCUUUGCCCUUUUCUGUAUAAAUUUUAUUUUUUCCACAAAGUUACACAUACAAAUGUAAAUGCCUUAAAAUAAUGAAGAAAUUAUGUCAUACAGAGAGGUCCUUGGAAAUAAAUACUUACUUCAGUG